GGUGAGAUGGCUCAGUGGGUAAGAGCACCCGACUGCUCUUCUGAAGGUCCUGAGAUCAAAUCCCAGCAACCA
This 72-nucleotide transfer RNA is filed under the name Mus musculus (house mouse). Its description in RNAcentral is "tRNA-Ser". Lineage: Eukaryota; Metazoa; Chordata; Mammalia; Rodentia; Muridae. The record is from RNAcentral.